Molecule: unclassified non-coding RNA, 285 nt
Filed under: fungal sp.
Lineage: Eukaryota; Fungi
Also listed under: 1 other name
Description: partial internal transcribed spacer region
Rfam family: Eukaryotic small subunit ribosomal RNA (bases 1-46)
Source: RNAcentral
AAGUCGUAACAAGGUAUCCGUAGGUGAACCUGCGGAUGGAUCAUUAUCACGUAUCCACGUAUCAACCAUUGUGAACUGUACCUACCUUUGAAAGGAGUAUGAGUGAUAAGAGUUUUUUUGUGUAACAACGAGAAAGCUUUUCCUUUCAGAGUGUAUUUUAUCACUUUAAUUAACAAUUUUAACUAAUUAUUAUACUUUUUGUCUGAUAUUAUUUCUUACUCUCUCGGGAGAAGAAAUUCAUUACGAAACAAAGAACAACUCUUAGCAACGGAUAUCUUGGUUCUC